UACGAAGGGGGCUAACGUUGCUCGGAAUCACUGGGCGUAAAGGGUGCGUAGGCGGGUCUUUAAGUCAGGGGUGAAAUCCUGGAGCUCAACUCCAGAACUGCCUUUGAUACUGAAGAUCUUGAGUUCGGGAGAGGUGAGUGGAACUGCGAGUGUAGAGGUGAAAUUCGUAGAUAUUCGCAAGAACACCAGUGGCGAAGGCGGCUCGCUGGCCCGAUACUGACGCUGAGGCACGAAAGCGUGGGGAGCAAACAGG
RNAcentral lists this ribosomal RNA (253 nucleotides) under uncultured bacterium. Its description in RNAcentral is "partial 16S ribosomal RNA". It matches the Rfam family "Bacterial small subunit ribosomal RNA", at positions 524 to 776 of the family's 1533-position model. The record is from RNAcentral.